ACACCGGCAGCUCAAGUGGUAGCCGCUUUUAUUGGGCCUAAAGCGUCCGUAGCCGGUCUGAUAAGUCUCUGGUGAAAUCCCGCAGCUUAACUGUGGGAAUUGCUGGAGAUACUAUCAUGACUCGAGGUCGGGAGAGGCUGGAGGUACUCCCAGGGUAGGGGUGAAAUCCUGGAAUCCUGGGAGGACCACCUGUGGCGAAGGCGUCCAGCUGGAACGAACCUGACGGUGAGGGACGAAAGCCAGGGGCGCGAACCGGAUUAGAUACCCGGGUAGUCCUGGCCGUAAACGAUGUGGACUUGGUGUUGGGAUGGCUUCGAGCUGCCCCAGUGCCGAAGGGAAGCUGUUAAGUCCACCGCCUGGGAAGUACGGCCGCAAGGCUGAAACUUAAAGGAAUUGGCGGGG
RNAcentral lists this ribosomal RNA (402 nucleotides) under uncultured bacterium. Its description in RNAcentral is "partial 16S ribosomal RNA". It matches the Rfam family "Archaeal small subunit ribosomal RNA", at positions 473 to 873 of the family's 1478-position model. The record is from RNAcentral.